RNAcentral lists this ribosomal RNA (484 nucleotides) under uncultured bacterium. Its description in RNAcentral is "partial 16S ribosomal RNA". It matches the Rfam family "Bacterial small subunit ribosomal RNA", at positions 30 to 507 of the family's 1533-position model. The record is from RNAcentral.
AUUGAACGCUGGCGGCAGGCCUAACACAUGCAAGUCGAGCGGAUGAAGGGAGCUUGCUCCUGGAUUCAGCGGCGGACGGGUGAGUAAUGCCUAGGAAUCUGCCUGGUAGUGGGGGAUAACGUCCGGAAACGGGCGCUAAUACCGCAUACGUCCUGAGGGAGAAAGUGGGGGAUCUUCGGACCUCACGCUAUCAGAUGAGCCUAGGUCGGAUUAGCUAGUUGGUGGGGUAAAGGCCUACCAAGGCGACGAUCCGUAACUGGUCUGAGAGGAUGAUCAGUCACACUGGAACUGAGACACGGUCCAUACUCCUACGGGAGGCAGCAGUGGGGAAUAUUAGACAAUGGGCGAAAGCCUGGUCCAGCCAUGCCGCGUGUGUGAAGAAGGUCUUCGGAUUGUAAAGCACUUUAAGUUGGGAGGAAGGGCAGUAAGUUAAUACCUUGCUGUUUUGACGUUACCAACAGAAUAAGCACCGGCUAACUUCGUG